UGCGUGCGCGCUCCCCUCCCCCGCCGCAGGUCUGCGAGGCGCUAGGCCUCUCCGCGCACGCGCGCGGGCGGGUUCGUGCACCGAGGCGGGAGGCGGCGCCCGCCAUCUUUGUGGGGGUGAGGGACCCGCUGAGGCUGGGCCGGCCAUGGAGAGGCGGAUCUGAGGGAAUGGCGUCGUUCUGUCGCGUGGCAAGCCGUAGGGAAAAAGGCCACCUCCUUUUGGCAGUGUAUGGACAGAGCAGUGCUGAACUCUCUCAUGACUGUGUAGCAAAAUGCCACCGCUCCAUGCACACAGGUGGCCAAUUCCAUCAGCAGUGACCUUCCUGCCAAAGGCAAAGUGCUGCUUUUCCACCCGGGAGCCGUUAUCCCAGCCGUGCUCGGCCCAUGUGGAGGAAGAAUAAAUUAUGGCGGGGAGGUGUUGGGUUUAUGUGGGCUCCCAAAAACAUCUCCCGUUGUCAUUGCUUGAGGCAGAUUGUUGACUGACUGCACCACUAGUCUCACUAGUUUCUUGGCAAUGCUCCCGUGCUUGAGUAGAUGUUAUUAACUACUACUAUAUUUUUUAAACAGUGUCCUAAGAUAUCUGGGAUUAAACAGGUGAUGUAGAGUAAGGCUUUUCCACCACCAAAACCCUUCAGCCACAGGUGAAGAACCAGUUACACUUGUGUUAAGCUGGGUGACCAAGAGACUCCUGUCCUGUGAUCACAUACACUUGCAUAAGGACUGGUUAGAGAUUGUCCUUGUUGCCUAGUAAAGAAGAUGACCACAAAUUCAAUGCAAAGCCACAUCUUGCAAGCCACUGCCCUUGUAAGUUGUGCUGAAGGCGGUGUGAAUCCAAUGAAAGAUCUGUGAUGGGAGGUUCAGCCUCCCUCGUCCCAUCUGCUCUCUACUAGGGACUUGCCAUCUUCUUUAGUAUAACUGUGCCUACAAAAUCAAUAUGAGAAGAUAAAGCUAAUAGGAGCACUCUAAGGUUAAUUUAAACCAACCUUAGUACAAUUAUUUCAGAUUAAAAGCGAUAUAGAGGCCAGACAUAUUAUCAAGUUAAGUAUUUUCUUGGCUCAACCUUUGUUGCUGUUUAGAGCACAUCUUCUGUAAUGCCCAUGUUGUUAAAUGUUACAGUAUUAGGUAUUUUUUUAGCAUUGAACAGGCAUCCUUCUGUUUUUUUAUGGAUGGAAGAAUAAUUAUAUCCUGUGACAAAAGCUGAGGAAGAGGGGCAGCUGUUCAGUCUUAUCCAGUGGGAACAUCAGAACAUAUGGGUCUAUUUUUCCAAUUUUAGCUGAAGUACUGAAGGAAAUUGGCAUUCUUUAUUAUUUCAACAUAAAAUAGAACAGAAAGAAACCCUCCUUAAAGCAGGCCAUGGUUAAAUAGUGAAUUUUAUCCAAUUCAAGUAGGUUCAAAGAGAAAGCAAGCAGAAUACUUAGGAAACAAAACAGACGAAUGCCAGGAGAAUUCUGGAAGUUAUUUUCAUAUAAAAAAGGGUGUCUUUCUCCACAGCUACUUCCUCCUUGAGCCUGCCUGCUGACAGGAGUUUUUGAUUUAAAAGCACAUUUAGGAUAAAAUUUGUGCUAUUCUUUACAAUUCUAUCCCCACUAACCUCUCUUCAUUCUAAGAAACAGAUAUAUAUAUAUGUAUAAUGACAGCUAACCUUCAGAGUUUAAGCCUUAAUUAAGAAUUUACUUUUAUGUUGAUUUCACAAAUUCUUUACAAAGAUUUUUAACUUGAGAUGAAGUCAUCAAUGUAAUAUGCAACUCUAAAAAAUUCCACAUACUUCAAACUGGUUGGCAUUCAGAUCUUGGUUAAAAAAACACACAACCAACCAUAAAAACAAAGCAAACAGGCUGUGGGAUGAAAAGAAUACAAUAGCCCAUCUGUUAAAAUCCAGAAAAGAAUGAGAAACAAUGUACCAAGUUACAACCUUCCCCAUAUCUUUAGGACUAGAAAUACUGAUCUUUACUCUGUAGGGUAACUGUUAAAAGACAAGAAAAUAGAGACAUUUAUCUCCCCCUUUUUAAAAAAUCAUCAGUAAAGGUUGGGGGGAUGGUGUUUCUGUUUCUUCCUGUUGAGUAACAGUAAAAAAAAAAUCUGUUAGAGAAGAGGAACAUUGACAUUAAAAAAAUCAUGAUGUCACAAAUGAUUCUCUUUGUUCAUGCUACAGAACUCUGUAAUCACACCAGUGGAAACCGGGCUUUUUGGCUCCACUCUCUCAUCAGGUUCUAAAAUGGACUCUGAAGAGAUUCCUUCCUGCGAGACAAUGGUGACCUCUGUUGUUCCCUCUCGUUGGUACCAGCCAUGAUGCUGUUUUGGCCUUGUGUCCCGCACUGUUUCAAUAGUGUGCUUUGAAACAAGCGGGCAGUUACUGAGAAAAUCUGGGCUGAAGUGUUGCAUUCAAGUUUCUGUCCAGGAAAGGAUGUGUCUAUUCUGCACUCUGCUUAAGAAAAUUUUCCCUGCGGGUUUCGUCUCAAGCAGCCCCUAGUCUGGCUACCAGGUUUUCCAGUUCAUAGCUGUGAAUCACUGCAGGAAGGAGCAGUUGCAAACAUUUUAAGCCACAGUGCAGUAAUAACACCUGCAAUGUAUUAUGAGAAAAAGCUGCAGGUAUUAUUAUAGAGAAGGAAGUUGGAAGAAAUAAUAACCUAUUUUGAACAGAUUCCAUUUCUAAAACUGGAGCUGAGAUUUUAAAAAGGUGUUAGGUGGCACAAAUCUUUAUGUUGCCCUAAGAUGCUUUUAAAAAAAUUUUUGGUGUACUUUCACACUUCAGUGACUCAGACUUCAUAACUCCAAGGAUAUUUUCCCUAGCGCAAGAGAAACUUCAAUAGUUUUAACUGCUUUCUUUUUUAACCUCUUUAAAUUGCUGACAUGAGGACAUGAGCUGACAUAGUUUGGAAACUGACCCCUCUCUCUCCAGGAAAUUCUUUCCAGGCAAACUUCUCUACUUUUUCCUUGGAUUUCUCCAGACUAAUGAUCUCCUCCAUCAUCUUCUACCUGUGCUAUGGUCUCUAGAGUGUCCCUAUCACAGUGACACGUCAGUAAAGAAACCCCUCAAAUUCAGAUGAUUGGUAAAGAAGAAUAAGGAUGAAGAAAAAUAAAUGUUGUGUUAGGAAACAAAUCCAUUUGUGACCUCCUAUAGCUACCAGUGGAUGAAAAAAAAUGGGGAACAAAAUUCAGUUCAGCCACAAGACUUGUAAUUUUGUUGGCUAUUCUGGAAUGUCUCACAGAGAAAGAAUAUUUUUAAACCAAAACUGGCUUCCAACUGCUCUAGAAAUGUUUUUUGGCUUCUUUUGAUGCCAUCAAACCUACAAUGGGUUUGGAUGCCUUAAUUUUCCUAUGAAUUAAGAAAUACAUCAAAACAAGAAAAAAAAAUAGUCACAAAAGACUUUGGUGUGACUAAAAAGUCUCCUGAACACGGGCAGCAAGAAAGAGAAGUUUUGCCCAGGUUUCCUGGUGAUGUCAGCCCCUGAAGAGCUGAGCACUGCACUGUUUCCUUUCAGGUUUGUGCCAGCAGGGAAACAGAAGAGCAAGUGGGAAAGGCGAGGGGUUGCUAAGGGCAGUGACUGGGAUGAGAGGAGGAACCUGCAGUCGGAUUCCUGACUGAGCAUGGGCUUGUUCAUACAGAGGUGGGAAAUCAACAAAGGCAUCUUUUCCACUACAACCACCUUCAUGGGAGGUGACAGACAGCAGCACCUUCCAUCUUUGCUUCUGCACCACCACACCAAAGUGUAAUCACACAGCUGACAAAGAAACCGAGAGGAAGACUAAUGCCUCCAAUUCCUUGAGACAGAGGCAUUUCCAAAAGAGGGCCAGUGGAAAUUCUCCUUGUUGCCAUUUGAGAAGAAGCUGAGAGAGCCAGCACUCUUCAUCUGGGAGAAGACUGGGGGGACUGUGAGUGUCUUAGCAUUGUGCAUAAAACACAAUGAAGAUGAGGGAGCCAAGCUCUUCUCAAAGAGAAGAGAAGAGCCUGGUUGCCCAGGCAGGUUGUGGAGUCUCCAUCCUUGGACAUGCUCACAAACCAAGGGCACAUAAUCCUGGGAGCCUGCUUGAGCAGGGCAGUUGGACCAGAGGACCUCCACAUAUCCCUCACAACCUCAGCUGUUCUGUGUGAUUCUUUGGUUUGGUUUGACUCCUGAAGUCUCUGAGCCUCAACCCUGAUGCCGACUGGCAAGGAUUCUGGGGCAAAGGAUGAUCCCAAACUCCUCCCUUAGGAUCCAUCACUAAACAGCAUCUCCCCAGUCCAGAAUAUCAUAAUACAGACACAGUCAGAAGAGACAAAAGAUCAUUUUUUUCUGGACAUCAACUGCAGGGUGUGGAGGGAAGCCCAGGAAUCACAGGGGUUCAGACAGGAAAUUGGCACCUGCAACAACACAGUCAGGGAGCACUUGAUAAAACCACCAAGGCAGGAAUAGGUAUGACUUGCUUCCCCUUUCCUUCGGAAACACAGUUGACAAAGAAUUGUGUAUGGCCCAGAAGAGAGAGCUAUUGCUUUUUGACCACUACCCUUUAGGUGCAACCAUGCAACUAGUUCUUUAUCAACUGAAUGGUCCACCCACUGGAUCCAUCUCCAAUUUAGAGAGAAAAAUAUUGUGGGGAACUGUGUGAACUACAGAAGUCCAGAUAAAUGACAUCUGUAAGCCUUCCCUUGCCCACUGAUGCAGUCACUCCAUCAUAGAAGGCCACUAGGCUGGUCAGGCAGGACUUGCCCUUGGUGAAGGCGUGCUGGCUGUCCCAGAUUGCCUCCCUGUCCUCCAUGUGCUUCAGCAUAACUUCUAGGAGGAUUUGUUCCUGAUCUUCCCAGGCACAGAAGUGAGGCUCACAGGUUGUUAGCUCCUAGGGCCCUCCUUCCUACCCUUUUUGAAAAUGGGUACAAUGUUUCCCUUUUUCACAAACAGCUGCAAUGACAAAGUACAAAAGAUCUGUCAUAUGACACUUAACAUAAGUUCCUAAUGUCCUUGAGAAAUACCCUUUUUAAUGCUCCUCUUUGCCUGGGAACCAAGAAAUACCACUUUGCAAUGUAUAAAUCUGUAUCGAUGCUGAUUCUUGCUAACAUGCAGAAAAUACAUAUUGGCAAAGUGAUAAAUCAGUUCCCCAGAGUACAAAUCGGCCAUAAAAAAGUAACCUAAAAAUAAUCAAUUCAAAGUAUUUACAGCAGAUGGAGCUAUACAUUUUGCUUUGAUCAUAUGUUACAUGAUAUUCCAAGAUAAAGUGUACAGUUUGACAAGAACUGUGGUAAGUUAGUGGUACCGUCUCACCAAGGAAUGGAGUUAGUCACAGAAGGCAUUUCAUAAACUGCUGCAAUUAGCUUUCCUGGAAAUAAUCCUUGUAACAUCAGUAGAAAUAGCAACUCAAGAAAAGGUUAUCACUGUAUAUUGGUAUCUUAAUAGAAAUCACAGCUCAAGUCUAAGGGUUUGCUGUAUCUGCUCACCAGUUUGAAGGUUCUCCUGACCCUGCUGGCUUUUGUUUACCAGCCAGGUAAAAUGAGCACUGAAGAGAGGACAAAGUUUUCUUUAUACACUACUAACCAGAAUCUAUGUGUGAUGUCCACAGAUUAUCCUUUGGAAGUCUGGGCUCCUGCAUAACCAAGAUGCUUACUCACUGUAUGUAUACAUGCAUAGGGUUCCUUGUCUGAAACGAAGCCUGUUCUUGUCUUUAUUGCUGCCAAGAUCCAGAUGGAUGUGUUUCCCAUGCUGCAUUUGCAUCAUCUUUAAGCUACAAAAAUUUUGAUUACACACCAAGGGUAAGGGAGAUUAUUUUUGCAGUUUCUAACAGAAUUACUCUUAUCCUAGAGUAAUUAAAAGAAAUCUGGUACAAUUCCUGUCCUAUUAUGUUUGAAUUUGAACUAAAGUUUGGAUCUUAUACUGCUGUAAAAGCUUACUCUGCUUCCACAUUCUGAGAUGACCCAUCUUGCCUAUUUGAACUUCACACCCUCCACUCCCCAGUCCACUUGCAAUUUCCUAACCAUAGUGUCAGUUGCAAAAAAAUUAAUCCAAUUAAAAAAAAAAUCAUGGCAUUUUUAUUCUCCACCUAAUUGUCAUUCAUGACACCAAAAAAAGCUACUGGUUUCAAACUGUAUUUACAGAUUUUAAAGUUAUGGUGAUGAAAAGGUGAUUGAUGCCCCAUACCUGGAAACAUUCAGAUCAGACUGGAAAGGGUUCUCAGCAACCUGAUCUGGUGGAAGGUGCCCAUUGCAGAGGGUUGGACUAGAUGGCAUUUAAAGGUCCCUUCCAGCCCAAACCAUUCUAUGAUUCUGGAAGUCUGCACUGCUAACAGGACUGGACCUCAAUAUUCCAAAUUCUCAACAGCAUAAUGAAUAUCCUCUUACUGCCUAUGCUUAGGUGUGGGGGAGGAUGGUCCUAUAGGCAGGUACCAGCUAAUCCAAGAGUGAUUAGAAACACUUUGAAAGCAUGUGGGAUGAUUUGAUUUUGUAGCAGGAUAGAGGAAUAUUUAUAAUUCCUAAUGCAUGAAACUUUUAGAGAAGAAGCAUUCCUACUCCUUUCUCCAUAUACCAUUUCCUUUCUCUGUGUUUAUCCAAUUUAGAUAUAUUUCUCAGGAGACACAUCAUGGGGCUGAAUCCGACGGUAUUGCAACUCUGUUUUACUUCAUUUUCCUUUUUAUAGUAAAUAUGAAUGGAUACUGCAACUAGUAAUUUACUAAUCCACAAGUCUAAACAUGGACAUAGAAACAGUCCAGAUAAACUGAAUUGUAAGAACAGUAACUAAUUAAGCACAACUGUUUUUGUAAUGUUUCCCAUGGGUUGCCUUUAUAAUGCCAAUUUCUAUGCAUUAAUAAAUUAAUAAUUCUUCACCUUUAUAAAAAUUUAAAAUCCAUCUGUUUAUUGACCAGAAUAAAAGUCUAGAUUCUUCCUCUAAAAUGAAAAGUCACUUUCUGGUUAGUUGGGAAACAACAUACUUUAUGAAUUUGCAAUAUUUACUCUGCUAAAAGUGAAUAUAAUUUCUGAGCAUGAAAAUGUAUAAAUAGAUAAAAAUAAUAUACACAAUAGAUAAAAUAUACAAUAAUAACAAUGAAUAAAUUAAACAAUUAGAACUAAAUGGUGAUCUCCCCUAAACUAUGUUUUAAGGUAUUUUGUUGUGAGAAAAAGGACAAAGCCACAGAUAACAGAUUAUAUACAGGAAGCCUGUCCAUUUAUUUCAAAAUUAGAGAUUUUGUAAAAUAAAUUGGAACUAUUCACUAGUAAAUACUAUUCUUAUUAAAGCAUAGCAGUUUCUAAAAACAUUUGCUUUUUCAGUGUACCAGCUAUACAUAAGAAUAUAGUUCUUUCUCACAAAAAUUAGCUUUGAGCAACUAGUGCAAACAUCCAAUACAAACCUGACUGAAAGCGUUAAGAAAUGUAUUUGAAAGUACAUGAAAAUGCAUCUCCUUCAGUAUAUCUGGAUACCACUCAAAUCCUCCCAACAUUUGUUCUCAUUUAAAAAAAAAAGUUCAUUCCUCACCACUUGCCAAAGAGGAACAUGUAUUUUAAAUAUUACAUUCCUUACUUACAAAUUAUUUAUUUAGGAUGAAGUCCCUCAUAAACUCUUUAGCAAACUAGCACUUUACAUUUUAAACUGGAGAACUUUAACAAGAAAGGGUAAAACAGUUUAUUCAGCUUUUUACAAAGCAGUAUAUAAUAGCACAAAGUGGUAUGCCUACUAAAAUGUUUUGUUAAAGACAAAAGCAGAAGUUGAAUUUUUUAUUACAAUAAAAAUUCUUAUUUGACUUGUGUAACUUAUUUGGCAUUAAAACAUGACUGCAUUGCUUCUCUCAAAAACUGAGCAGCAUAUACUUUGAAAGUCACUUGAUUUACAUCAAACCAGUCAUUUUGAAGUAAACAAUGGUGAUUUUCUGUUACAGUCUUAAUCACAGCUGUGGACCAGGACCCCCCUGUACAAAUUGGUCCUUGGACACACAGCAAAUCUAUUCUGUGAAUCAAAGAGAUUCCAGGAAGGCCCAGUGAAAGUCAUGAAACCAUUGGGGGAAUAAAAUAUUACCUGGCCUGAACAUAGCAGUGAAGGCAAGUAUAUAGUCUUUCCUGGAAUGAUAGAUUUUAGUAUUUCUCACAAAGAUAAAAUUAUUUUUAUUGGUCCUUCUAACCGUUUUCAUGAAGAAAAAAAUGUAUUAAUCACUCAUUAAUUUUAUGUUCUAGAGACAUAAAUGUAGAUAUUCCUCCCCUAUGGGGAGAAAAUAACUGGGUCUCAUUUUCCAGUAUCAGCAGUACCAGCUGCCUGGAAAGGAGUCAUCGAAAGUACCACUGAGGUGGAAGGAAGUUUUCCAUGUGUUACAUUUAGUGGAGGAAAGGAAUACUUUCAUGUUCCACAAUUUCAGUUAAGAUAACCCUGAAAUGACUAUGGCAUUUGAAAAAAUAAGGUUUAAUUUUUCACCCUUCAUGGGCUCUGAAGUUGUGUAAAGCGAUGGACAGCUAUGCCGCUCAGAACAUGACUUUUCCAUAUCAUUUAAUGUGCAUGCACCUCCCAUCCUCCUGCACGAACAGCUUCACAAUCUUGGGGUGGUGUGGCUGGGAACAAGCCAUACUGUAUGUCCUGUUUAUAUACAAACCUGGAAUGUGAAUGAUCCUAAGUUGGGCAACUGCAAAUUAUUGUUAUCAGUGGUGUUCUGAGGGAAAGAAUUGGAAGUAAUUUACCUGACAAAAAACUGCACAAUGCAGAAAUACAAAGAAGUUAGGGGUUUUUACCUCCAUUCAGAUCUGCUACCUAUGGGAACAGCUCAAUGGAAACAGCAGGCAACCUGUUGUCAGGGUGUGAGCUUUCAGCUGUAGCAGUUUGGAAAUUUCCAUGGCCAUAUCCCAGCCUGAAACCUCAUCUUCAUCUUCCAGUUAUUUGUUCCCUGCUGCUCUUCUAACUUCCUCUCUUUAGAGGGUUGAUCCUGCAGAAUUUAGACAAACAAAUGCUCUGUGUACAAGGGGAGGUAACUGAAGUGAGUGGUAUGGUUGGUGUAUGUUGGAUUUUUGAGGGGACCCAGCACUAAGGGUAUUUCAUAGGCUUCAGGGACUUCCUGGCCUAUGUGGUUAAUGCUGAUUUAAGUGCCCUCGGGGCCAGGUCCUGUAGUGUGUGCUUAGCACACAGAUGUGUUGCAUUGACUUCCACAGAAGUAGAGGAAGUGAACACAUCACUGGAUGCAUUCACAUUUGUGCUUGGCAAGAAGGGACUCCAAGUAUUUAAAGCUAGCAUAAGUGAUAAUGCACAGUUAUUAUCAUGUUAGAUGGCUGAAUGUGAUACCACAUGCACUGGCCAGAUUAAUCUCCUACAGCUCUGAUUUUGUGAGGAUUGUUGCAGAGAACCCUAAAGAAACCCAAUGGGUAUUGCAUGGUACCCCCAUAAACUCAAUGGAGCAUUACUUGAUUAAAGAAGUUACAGUCAUACUGAGCUGGAGUAAACUGAGAGUGUCCAGAAAACAUAGAGGAUUUAAGUGUGUUUAGACACCAAAUAUCACCAUGUAGAAAUUUCAGCCUCCGGAAGUUUUAAUGGAAGAAAAUAGCUUAAUCACUCAGUAUAUUUUGCAACUGUAGCUGAAAGUUUAACAUCACAAAAUAACAUAUUGCUAUGCAGCUUUAAGAGUCACACAAUUAUAUUCAAUCAUUUCCCCUGCUUUUCAAGUCUGCUGUUCAUUAAAAACUCUUCUCCUGCUUGCAGGUUCCAGUUUUCAAAUGGAUGACACAACCAAUGCAUAGCUUAACGUUCAUUCUCAUGAGUCAUAAUUAAUAAAUAAUCGUAUCACAUACACAGAAUUUUACAGGUACUCUUAAAAUGGUUUUACAGUUCUAUUAAAUAUAUAGAUAAAAUAAUCACUGCUAUAUAAAAAAAAUCAUUUUCAAACAGCUGAACUCUCAAGCUCUGCAUAAAAUUCUGUAGACACAUUCAUUACAAUCUAGAAACUGAAUAAAAAUACAUUUUAGAGCUCAAUCCCUCAAAAAUAUUCAUGGCAUUGAAAAUUGAUUGUCAUUUUUUACUGUAAUCUGUGCUUCCCCUACCAUUGUACUGAAAAUUUCCUACAAUUUGGCAAAGGCUACAUCCAGGUCAGUUUGUAGUUUAUGUGACUGUUUAACUCAUUUCCUCAGCUCUUAGUCUUCUGCCCCAUAAAUGUUUUGUGGGGUUCUGUCUUUAAUGGUGUAUCUUUCCUUGCACUUUCUAUAAAAUCACAAUGAAACACUUUGCAGUUAAGUUACAUGACUACAAUGACAUUGAACCAUCCUUUUAUAGUUGUUGCUUGGCCUUUAAUGGUGCUUCUGUGAACACCAAACAUCCUUUAUCCAGUGAUCCUCAAACACUUCCUGUCACUUACACUUCACAAUAAUCUGCUACCCACAUUUGCUCAAAACCAGUGGGUUUUAGAAACAGUCUUAACAGAUCAGUACCCUUGUCCAUCUGAAUUCUGCUGCUAAAUUGAACUACCAAAUGUGGUCAGUUUAAGGUUGGCAUUUUUCAAAAACCCAGUCAAAAAUUCAGGAAAAACUUCCUUAUUCUGACAGUGCACAUAUCUGAUGGAAAAUGGGUAGACAACAGACUGCCCACCAGCCUUUAAACCCCCACUACCUCAAGCCAGUUCUCUAGGCAGCAAGUUAAAAUAGGCUUUGCCAUACAGAAUGUUUCACAAUCAGGCUUUUAGACAGUGGCUCAGAACAGGCCACAAAGCCCAACAACAAGCACUGUUUUCAGAACAGGGCGCUUGCAUUGAGGGAUUGGAUCUUGGACCGUGGAAGAAGAGAUGGAGGCUCACAAGCCAAUUUAAGUGGGGGGAAACUGCUUCUUAUGCAGAUGUCACUCUUUGGAGUUCCAGGUAAAAGCAAAACUCCUGAAGAGUUCAGACUUUUCUUUCAUGCACAGUUGACAAUACCAGUAUCAUCACUCUUAACUCUUCACCUGUGAUCUUCUCACCCAUGGAAUGGCUGGGUAAGGUACACUACCUCUGUUAUAGCAAACCUACGACCAAACAAACCCCAAAAUGGAAAGCAACAUAACACCAAGUGUCAUGGACUAAUUUAGUAUUUUUUUUUCAUCUAUUUUGGAUGGAAGAAGCAACCUUUGUCUCUCAAUGGGAUAGGAUGGAAAGUGUGUAUCAGCUGAAACACUGGGUGAGAUGACCAAGACAACUGCUGGAUGCUGUUUGACAUUUAAACUGCUCAUUUCAAUGUUUCAGUCACUGUUCAUCAGUGGGAGGUAACAAAGAAAACCUUGGGUUUUUUCCCUCUUGGAUGAAAAUACUGUGUAAUGAAAUUGCCAGCAUCACUGCAUUCCCACCUUUCCAUUCUUCAUGGAUGGAUAAGACAUCCAAAGAGCUCCUCAUCCUGAUUAAUAAUCUUAGAAGGAAGAAGACAGAAGAGAGCAUACUUUACUUGACUGAACUUUCAUAGCUAUAAAGUUAUAUGAAGAGACUGUAAUCCAGUUCCAGGUAACCUCUGCUCAAGAUCUAUAAAUAUGGAAGGAUCAGUGAGUAAAGAUAUAAAGAAUCAGAAAAGGUUGUCAUAAACCAAAGGAGCCUGUGAAGAGUGAAACAUAAUGAAGAGCUGUCAACACUUUCACUCCGAACUAAUGUACACUGCUACUUGCUGCAAUUAAAUAGAUGCCAUACCCCAGCUUAGUAUUCCUUGGUUUUAAGGAUAAGGAUAUAAUGUUUCUUGUAUUAAGUUUUAUUCUUUCAGAGGGAAAAGCACUAGCCUUUCAAUAUUCUAUUUUAGCCUACUUCCAGAAAGCAUUUUCAAAAAAUCUAAUAAAGGUUUUCUUUUGGAAGAAAGUAUCACUGUCUUUAACAACAAGCACAAACAAGUUCAUAGAUCACAAAAUCAGAUGACUCAAAAUGCUGAGCAUUUUCAUCAGCAAGAUGAAGAAUGUAUUUUUUUACUUAUGUUGAUUUACAUUGAAUUAAGUUGGGAUAUUUGGAUCUGUUCCUCACCAAGCACAGUAGAUCUUAUUUUUAGGUUCAUGGGGUGAAUCCAGAUCUAGUCAACAGUGAAAGGACAGAAUAGGAAAGAUUUCAGCUUUCUUGACUUCACAAAAAGUCACACAGAGAAAAGUUACUGGUAUUAAAUUGAAUUUGAAGACUUCUCUUUUGUUCUCCAAAGCAUGGGUUACACCUUGUCUGGAAAAAUCCUAAAUCAAAUAUCCUAAAGUGAUCACUGAUGUGGACAAAAAUUACAAGAGGCAGAAGUGGCUCAACUGUGCCUAUGGAAAAGCCACAGGAGUCUCUUAGUUGCACUAGAAAGUCAGUGCUGGCUGUCAGCAUUUCUCUGUAUUUAGUUUUAUAUCUGUCAUUUCUUUCUCUAUUGAUUUGGACACUUAAAGGCUAUUUCUAAUCCUUUUACCAUACACUUGUGCCUUAAGAGUAGCCUUAGCAAAUUAGGUGACCUAUUGUUUUUUGUAUCUUCAAAAAAGAGACAUUUUCCCAUGAUCUAGUAAGUAAAAGCAGCAGCAAAAAUGAAGCAGAAGCAGACUCAGAAGCACUGAGGUACUUUUAAAACACUUCAGUUUCUGGGCUAAGAUUUCCCAUAUGACCACUCCUGUGAAGCAGUGAGCGUGUAUGUGCUUCACACUUCUCCACACCCAGUUUAUUCCUUCGGACCAAACCUAACAAAAGGUGCAGGACCAAAGUGAAUUUAAAUCCUAAAAAAAUCGAACUCUCCUACCCCAAUAAACCCUCAACCUGAUUUUGCUGCUCCACUGGAUUUGCUACUGGAACUGUAAUUCCUGAUCUGUAUUUCACCACCUGUAAUUCUGCUCUGUCUCUAACUCUUUCAAAUAAUUCAAUGGAAAACGUGAAGAAGCAUUUCUAGCCUUGCCCUUGCAGGUGGCCAGAUCCAGAGGCAAGUCAACACUACCCCUCUUCCACAGCUGUCAGGCCCUACAUAAGAAAAUGAAGCCAGAAGAAUAAUUUUUGAAGACUAGAGCUCUGAAUUGUUCAUAUUUCUACUGAUAAUUAUCUGGUUUUAUUUAGCAUCUUAUAAAGCAAGGCACAAAUGUACAAAAUUGCGUCUACUAAAUCAGGUCAUUUUUAUAUAUAUUUACACAGUUAUCAUAAUAUAAAACGUGCUUUGACACUGUCAUAGCACAACAGUAGAGGAAUUGGAGACAACCUGAUAAUAAACACAAAUACCAGGUCCUGGAUUUCUGUUUGUGCUUCACCUGAAGGAACAUAUUCAUAUGCAGAUACACAAAGCAAUCCAGCCACCAUCCUUUAUUUUUCCACACCUCACACAGAUCAAACUUUGUUGCUAAGAAGCUGUGGAAGGAGUAAAAGGCAGUAGAUCAGCACCCAGAAGAAAAUGAUGAAGUAAAAUAGCUCUGGCUGCUCAAAAAUUGUAAUCUCGUGAAUUGGUGGUGGGGUCUCACUUGCUUCUGAGUCCUUUUUCUUCCUGUAAACAGGAGAUAAUUCAAUAAGAGGCAAGUAAAAGAAGAAAAAACCUUCAUUGUUAAUGUUUACUGUGAAGAUCAGAGGGCAGGCUAACAGACAGCAGUUUAAAGAACCAAUUCAAUCUAGUCAGCCUGAGUCCCAGCUAGACUAGGAGGGGCAUAACAGGCUAAAGCAGUGUGUUCCUUCCAGAGCCAAUGUACAUAUCAAUUAAUCCUCAGAAAACUCUGGACAAAUUCUCAGGUAGUAUAAGGAGAUUCCCACCAGUCAGAAAGAUGCCCUUUUAUUUUGAGAACAGUAAACACAGCUCUGGGCAGCACAAAUCAAACUUUCACAAUUUUGCUUAUACACUGCAUCUGACUUAAUAUACUUCUCCCAAAUCACCUACUUUCAGAGCUACUCAUGUCAGACACCUGAAUAUUAAACAGAAAAAGCCCAAAACUUCCAGAAACCAACUAGCAGUUGGGGUUUUCCAGGACAACUCCAAAAUUUGAACUUUCCGAAUUUCCAGCUGUGGUUCAUAAGGGCAAAGUCCAAUGGACUCUGCUGGCACCACUGAGCUCUCACAAAGACAAGGAAGGGUCUUAUUUAAAAAGGCACAAGAUGGUACACUCAUUUUAUAAUUUUACAAUACUAUAAGAAUAACCCUCUGGGUCUAAUCUACUUUUGGAGAAAAAUGUGUUUUGGCCUGUUUUAAUGAGUCCUUUUUUCUGGCUUGAGGCAUCCUACUUGCUCAGAUGUUAUACUGGAUAUAUACCUGAGUAUCACCCAAAAUUUGCUCAAUAUCAGCAAUCUGUAAACAGCUAUAACUGUAACAGCUAUUCAUGUUUGUUUUUUUUUUAACAGAAGCAUAAGCGAGACCAGGACAGUGGAUCUUGAUAAUAUUUUGUGUGUUUUCUGCAUUUAAAUAUAACAAUAAUUUUAACUACUGAGGGGUACCACUCAGUAUCAGCUAAGAGGGAAAACCUAAAGCAAUCCUUUGUUUUUUAUAGAUAUUUAGCAUCCAAAGGGAUACACACUCUGUGUUCAGGACUCAUCACCCUAGUCUAGACUAAAGACACAGACACACACAUACUCUAACAGAGGGGCCUGACCUCCACUGAAGUUAUUGAUUUUCCCUAGCAUUGACCAUACUAAAUACUGUCUUGACAGUCUUCCAAACAUAGAAAGAGUCAUCACUGCCAGAGGGCCUGACAUAUCCACCAAGUGGAGAGAACACUCAGACUCUUGCUUAGACAGCUGAAUCUUUCAACUCAAGUCAAGAAAAAGCAUUUUAGUCAAGGGACAGAUUGAGCACUAAUGAACUUUCGUAUCUUAUGCUUAUAGGAAAUAUGGACUGAGCCACUACAGAAGACAUCCAGUCAGUUACUACCAUUAUAAUUAAUUUCCAGUUCCUUUUGUAGCACUGCUAGUAGUACCUAGAUUUAUGGAUUCCUUGCAAAACUCUUUGAAUAAGAACCACUCACCUGAUGAUUAAUGUAUUUUCACCCAUAUCUGUCAUCUUCUGCUCAUUUACACCAUAGGUUUCCUUAAACAAACAAGAAAUAGAUUAUAUAACAAAAAUAAAAUUCAGCAUGUCACAAA
Molecule: long non-coding RNA, 14924 nt
Organism: Pseudopipra pipra
Lineage: Eukaryota; Metazoa; Chordata; Aves; Passeriformes; Pipridae
Exons: 2
Source: RefSeq, a predicted model, not a curated record